Molecule: ribosomal RNA, 465 nt
Filed under: Vreelandella stevensii
Lineage: Bacteria; Pseudomonadati; Pseudomonadota; Gammaproteobacteria; Oceanospirillales; Halomonadaceae
Description: partial 16S ribosomal RNA
Rfam family: Bacterial small subunit ribosomal RNA
Source: RNAcentral
CCUACGGGUGGCUGCAGUGGGGAAUAUUGGACAAUGGGCGAAAGCCUGAUCCAGCCAUGCCGCGUGUGUGAAGAAGGCCUUCGGGUUGUAAAGCACUUUCAGUGGGGAAGAAAGCCUUGGGGCUAAUACCCUCGAGGAAGGACAUCACCCACAGAAGAAGCACCGGCUAACUCCGUGCCAGCAGCCGCGGUAAUACGGAGGGUGCGAGCGUUAAUCGGAAUUACUGGGCGUAAAGCGCGAGUAGGCGGUCUGAUAAGCCGGUUGUGAAAGCCCCGGGCUCAACCUGGGAACGGCAUCCGGAACUGUCAGGCUAGAGUGCAGGAGAGGAAGGUAGAAUUCCCGGUGUAGCGGUGAAAUGCGUAGAGAUCGGGAGGAAUACCAGUGGCGAAGGCGGCCUUCUGGACUGACACUGACGCUGAGGUGCGAAAGCGUGGGUAGCAAACAGGAUUAGAUACCCCAGUAGUC